UUCAAAACUAGAUGACCAUUGGAGAGC
Molecule: non-coding RNA, 27 nt
Filed under: Bombyx mori (domestic silkworm)
Lineage: Eukaryota; Metazoa; Arthropoda; Insecta; Lepidoptera; Bombycidae
Source: RNAcentral